RNAcentral lists this ribosomal RNA (65 nucleotides) under Actinomadura kijaniata. RNAcentral's name for it is "partial 16S ribosomal RNA". It matches the Rfam family "Bacterial small subunit ribosomal RNA", at positions 1 to 65 of the family's 1533-position model. The record is from RNAcentral. Lineage: Bacteria; Bacillati; Actinomycetota; Actinomycetes; Streptosporangiales; Thermomonosporaceae.
UUAAUGGAGAGUUUGAUCCUGGCUCAGGACGAACGCUGGCGGCGUGCUUAACACAUGCAAGUCGA